UCAUCUUUAGCUUCUUCUUCUUCUUCUUCUUCGUGUGAUUAAUGGCGGUUGGCAAGCAACUUAUAGGGAAGAGUUACCUGGGGUCUCCAGUGCUGCUCAGAAGCUUAUCUGAGCUGGAAUUCUGGUCUCCCAAGGAGGUAAGUCCAUCACCCACUCAGUAGGACCAGGAUGUAGUUGCAUGUCCCUGAGUAUCUGCACAUGUGCAUAUGGCUGUAUGGUACUCACGGUCUGCAAUUUAACCCAAUAGUCAUUCUGUUGUUUCAAAUCCAGUGUAUAUAACAUUCUUAGAUUCUUAAAACACAAAAUGUAGAACUCUGGACUGAAAAUGAACAUAUAUAUUCCAUUAUCUUUCAAGUAUUACAUUAUCAGUUUUGAAAAAAAAAGACCCUCCUGAGAAUGUAAUAAAUUCCCAAUAAUGUAAUAAGGUAUUACAUUAUCGGUAAAAAUGUUAUUACAAUAUCAGUCAGGAUAUUUUAUUACAUUAUUGGUGAAGUUAUUAUAUUAUUGGGUUUUAUUACAUUUUCGAUCGAGUUACGUACACAUUUUAUUACAUUUUCAGGCGUUAUUACAUUUUCAGGAAAUUAUUACAUUAUAGGGUGCUACACCUCGUCAUCUGCAAACAGCAACACUCCUACUCUCGACGUUGUAUCUACAUUAUGUUGGAUAUUGAAUAUUUGAUAGGGUGAAGGAAAAUGUAAAUAGUACAUUUAUUGAACGCACACCCGUUCCUACUAACAGUUGCAUAAAGUACUAGUUUGCAUAAUAAGAGAAACAAGUGCAGAGGAACAUGGCUGCUUGAGUAGAAAAUAUCAGUAGAUGCACCAGAGAUGACCUUUCGAUAGCAGAUGCACCAGACAUGACCUUGUGACAAUGUGCAGGUGAAAGGAAACAAAGAGCGUCUCGUGAAAUGUGUGUAGCAGAAGCGACUCACUCACAGCGGCCUUGUGGGCAGCUGUGUUUCCUGUUCUUAUAUGUGUUUCAGAGAAAAGGGGAGCUGGAGCAGCAGAUAAGAACGGAGUCAGCAGAAAGGAACGAGGUCUCCCCAGCAACACCAAUGGCAAUGCUUGCGUCACAAAUAACUGUAUACGCUUAAAAAGACUGGGUCAGGAAGAGAUAGGUUGUCAGACUUCGUGCCCUGACUCGCUGAUGUUGUUGGUUAGGGCAAGAAGAAAUAGACCCAGAGCUCUGUACAUCGCGAUCUGAGAAAUAAAGAAGAGUUAAGUUGAAGUCA
This is a long non-coding RNA of Epinephelus fuscoguttatus (brown-marbled grouper), 1231 nucleotides long. RefSeq lists it as uncharacterized. Lineage: Eukaryota; Metazoa; Chordata; Actinopteri; Perciformes; Serranidae. The transcript has 2 exons. The record is from RefSeq and is a predicted model, not a curated record.